UGGGGAAUCUUGCACAAUGGGGGAAACCCUGAUGCAGCGACGCCACGUGAGCGAUGAAGGUUUUCGAAUCGUAAAGCCCUGUCCUAUGGGAAGAUAAUGACGGUACCAUAGAAGAAAGCCCCGGCUAAUUACGUGCCAGCAGCCGCGGUAAUACGUAAGGGGCGAGCGUUGUCCGGAAUUAUUGGGCGUAAAGAGUGCGUAGGCGGCAAAUUAAGUCAGAUGUGAAAACUAAGGGCUCAACCCAUAGAUUGCAUCUGAAACUGAUAUGCUUGAGUCAAGGAGAGGAAAGUGGAAUUCCUAGUGUAGCGGUGGAAUGCGUAGAUAUUAGGAGGAAUACCGGUGGCGAAGGAGACUUUCUGGACUUGAACUGACGCUGAGGCACGAAAGCGUGGGGAGCAAACAGG
RNAcentral lists this ribosomal RNA (404 nucleotides) under Verrucomicrobiota bacterium. RNAcentral's name for it is "Verrucomicrobia bacterium partial 16S ribosomal RNA". It matches the Rfam family "Bacterial small subunit ribosomal RNA", at positions 355 to 776 of the family's 1533-position model. Lineage: Bacteria; Pseudomonadati; Verrucomicrobiota. The record is from RNAcentral.